RNAcentral lists this ribosomal RNA (468 nucleotides) under uncultured bacterium. Its description in RNAcentral is "partial 16S ribosomal RNA". It matches the Rfam family "Bacterial small subunit ribosomal RNA", at positions 28 to 507 of the family's 1533-position model. The record is from RNAcentral.
GACGAACGCUGGCGGCGCGCCUAACACAUGCAAGUCGAACGGAGUCAAGAGGAGCUUGCUUUUCUUGACUUAGUGGCGAACGGGUGAGUAACGCGUGAGUAACCUGCCCUGGAGUGGGGGACAACAGUUGGAAACGACUGCUAAUACCGCAUAAGCUCACGGAUCUGCAUGGAUCUGCGGGAAAAGGAUUUAUUCGCUCUAGGAUGGACUCGCGUCCAAUUAGCUAGUUGGUGAGGUAACGGCCCACCAAGGCGACGAUUGGUAGCCGGACUGAGAGGCUGAACGGACACAUUGGGACUGAGACACGGCCCAGACUCCUACGGGAGGCAGCAGUGGGUGAUAUUGCACAAUGGGGGAAGCCCUGAUGCAGCGACGCCGCGUGGAGGAAGAAGGUUUUCGGAUUGUAAACUCCUGUCGUUAGGGACGAUAAUGACGGUACCUAACAAGAAAGCACCAGCUAACUACGUG